RNAcentral lists this ribosomal RNA (253 nucleotides) under uncultured bacterium. Its description in RNAcentral is "partial 16S ribosomal RNA". It matches the Rfam family "Bacterial small subunit ribosomal RNA", at positions 524 to 776 of the family's 1533-position model. The record is from RNAcentral.
UACGUAGGGUGCAAGCGUUAAUCGGAAUUACUGGGCGUAAAGCGUGCGCAGGCGGUGAUGUAAGACAGAUGUGAAAUCCCCGGGCUCAACCUGGGAACUGCAUCUGUGACUGCAUCGCUGGAGUACGGUAGAGGGGGAUGGAAUUCCGCGUGUAGCAGUGAAAUGCGUAGAUAUGCGGAGGAACACCGAUGGCGAAGGCAAUCCCCUGGACCUGUACUGACGCUCAUGCACGAAAGCGUGGGGAGCAAACAGG